GAUGAACGCUGGCGGCAUGCCUAACACAUGCAAGUCGAGCGAACAGACAAGAAGCUUGCGCUCUUGCCGGUGGCGGCGGGCGGGUGAGUAACGCGUGCAUCACCUUCUUCUUUUUCUUGGAUAACAACGGGGAAAAGCUGCCGAUACUACAGCAUAUAAUGUACCGCUUAGAUCAGUAGUUCUUCGCGGCUUUGCCGAUUGAUUUAGCUGAUUCCGCGUCGCAUUAGCUAGUUGGUAAGGUAACGGCUUACCAAGGCAACGAUGCGUAGCUGAGCUGAGAGGGUGAUCAGCCACACUGGAACUGAGACACGGUCCAGACUCCUACGGGAGGCAGCAGUAGGGAAUCUUCGGCAAUGGGCGAAAGCCUGACGCAGCAACGCCGCGUGAGUGAUGAAGGUCUUCGGAUUGUAAAGCUCUUUUAUUGGGGAAGAACAGCUGUAUGUGAAUCUAUGCACGUCCUGACGGUACCUAAAGAGUAAGCCACGGCUAACUACGUG
This 497-nucleotide ribosomal RNA is filed under the name uncultured bacterium. Its description in RNAcentral is "partial 16S ribosomal RNA". It matches the Rfam family "Bacterial small subunit ribosomal RNA", at positions 28 to 507 of the family's 1533-position model. The record is from RNAcentral.